Molecule: long non-coding RNA, 1120 nt
Filed under: Macaca mulatta (Rhesus monkey)
Lineage: Eukaryota; Metazoa; Chordata; Mammalia; Primates; Cercopithecidae
Description: lncRNA (ENSMMUG00000057441.1)
Source: RNAcentral
CUCAUAAAUGCAAUUCUUUUAACUAAUAUAAAAAUGAAAACAUUUUAAACAAUAAUUUAGCUUUCAGUUUCUUUAGUUUUGUUGAGAAUUACUACUAGGAGAUGUAUUUUUCUAAUGGGAACAAGAAAUUAUGAGGUUUGCCUACAUUAAUUUUUAUUUUUGUUUGACAGGAACAAGUGUUGGACUUUAAGUUUGCACCAGGAAACCAAGUGUUAGUAGAAAAACUGUGCCAAGAUUUAAGAGAGAACAUGUGAACCUAACACAGCAAGAAGUCAAUGACAAACUUAAACAACUUGAUGAUUUCUCUACAGAAAGGCUGAGAUAUAAACUUGGCUUUGUUACUUACAAUACCUAUAUUUGGAAGAGUGGAGUUUGAAGACAAAGACAGUAAUUUUGUGGGUUUAAGAAGAAAAGGCCUUGAGAAUAUUUAAACAGUAAAAAUAGCAGUUAACCUUGAAGAGACUCUUUCAUGAAUAACUUGCCUCAAGAAAAGGAUCCAGGCCCCUGGAAAUAAGUACACUGGAAGAAUACAAUUAUUAUAUGAAAUUGAAAUGCAUACUUCGUGUGAUUGAGCUGAAUGAAGGUGGCUUACACCAUUUAUGUGGCACUGUAAGAGUCAAACUAGAGGCAAAAGUUGAAAGGCCGUUUAUUCAAUUCACAACCAAAUUAAAAGUUGCAGUGUAUGAAGAAUGCAAAGCGUUCCUGAAGACUCCACUACCACAAUCCUUUGUUUUGAAAGCAGUAUUAUCUAGAGCUUUUGUGACACAGACCCAGAGAACAGAGACCAUCAAUCUUCAACACAUUGUAUCUCAAGGUAUUGUUAAAAUAGUUGUCAAAUGGCAAAUGCUUAUUUUUAUUUUUUUAGAGACAGAGUCUCACUCUGUCACCCAGGCAGGAGUGCAGUGAUACGAUCAUACCUCGCUGCAGCCUUGAAGGCAAAUGAAUGAAUAAAAUAUAAUGUAUCAGUGGGAUUUUCCCCCAUUAUUCCAUCAAAUAACUUUCUUUUGUAUUGAUUUGCAAAAUAGUACAUUACUAAUUUCUAUUUGAUUUUGGUUUCAAGAAUGGCUUAUUUCCUUCAAGAAUCUUUUAUUUUUAGUCACAAAUAGACAAAUAAUUUGCC